Molecule: unclassified non-coding RNA, 402 nt
Filed under: uncultured Cortinarius
Lineage: Eukaryota; Fungi; Basidiomycota; Agaricomycetes; Agaricales; Cortinariaceae
Description: sequence contains ITS2
Rfam family: 5.8S ribosomal RNA (bases 1-154)
Source: RNAcentral
AACUUUUAGCAAUGGAUCACUUGGCUCUAGCAUCGAUGACGAACGCAGCGAAGUGCGAUAAGUAAUGUGAAUUGCAGAAUUCAGUGAAUCAUCGAAUCUUUGAACGCACCUUGCGCUCCUUGGUAUUCCGAGGAGCAUGCCUGUUUGAGUGUCAUUACUAUAAUCAAGCCUUCUCUUUAUUGAGAGGGGUUUGGAUGUGGGGUCUGCUGGCCUUUCAAAAGGCUCAGCUCCCCUGAAAUGCAUUAGCAGAACAACCUUGCUCAUUGGUGUGAUAACUAUCUACGCUUAUGAAUGUGAGGGGCAGUUCAGCUUUCCAACUGUCUUUGGACAAAUCAUCAUUAAUGUGACCUCAAAUCAGGUAGGACUACCCGCUGAACUUAAGCAUAUCAAUAAGCGGAGGCU